This 352-nucleotide unclassified non-coding RNA is filed under the name soil metagenome. RNAcentral's name for it is "partial contains 5.8S ribosomal RNA, internal transcribed spacer 2, and large subunit ribosomal RNA". The stretch from base 1 to 120 matches the Rfam family "5.8S ribosomal RNA", at positions 35 to 154 of the family's 154-position model. The record is from RNAcentral.
GAUGAAGAACGCAGCGAAAUGCGAUAAGUAAUGUGAAUUGCAGAAUUCAGUGAAUCAUCGAAUCUUUGAACGCACAUUGCGCCCGCCAGUAUUCUGGCGGGCAUGCCUGUUCGAGCGUCAUUACAACCCUCAGGCCCCCGGGCCUGGCGUUGGGGAUCGGCGGAAGCCCCCUGUGGGCACACGCCGUCCCUCAAAUACAGUGGCGGUCCCGCCGCAGCUUCCAUUGCGUGGUAGCUAACACCUCGCAACUGGAGAGCGGCGCGGCCAUGCCGUAAAACACCCAACUUCUGAAUGUUGACCUCGAAUCAGGUAGGAAUACCCGCUGAACUUAAGCAUAUCAAUAAGCGGAGGA